Molecule: small RNA, 116 nt
Filed under: Rhizobium sp. N324
Lineage: Bacteria; Pseudomonadati; Pseudomonadota; Alphaproteobacteria; Hyphomicrobiales; Rhizobiaceae
Also listed under: 3 other names
Description: miscellaneous other RNA
Source: RNAcentral
AAAUCCGGCACGGUCGCGCCGCUGUGACCAGCGUGUCGAAGCUUCUUCGCGCUGGAAGUCAGACCCUACCGCACAAGCACUCUUUCGACUGAACGCGUCAUUCCCGGAGGAAUACA